Long non-coding RNA from Physella acuta, 404 nucleotides. RefSeq lists it as uncharacterized. The record is from RefSeq and is a predicted model, not a curated record. NCBI's taxonomy places the organism in Eukaryota, Metazoa, Mollusca, Gastropoda, Physidae.
UAAACACACCGCCAUUUGAGAAGAAACCAGACAAGACACGACAACACUUUACUAGAACAAUCAACAGGUCCAACAAGAUGAAAACUGUUGUUGUGGUCAUCACAGUUUUGGUCAUUAUGGCCUUUGUACUAAUUGAACAAGGAGAUUCAAUUCGGCGAUGGUGUGAUUACGAUUGGCCAUACUGUCGACCUCGGCUCUGCAACCCGGUGUUUCGCCCGUGGGAUUGUGGAAUAGUCUCUAAGUGAUGAUUUAUACUCACUCAUCACGUCUGCCCUACCAUUCAAUGAUGUCAAUUAUGGAGGAUGGAAUAUUUUUGGAAUGAUGCUUUAAAGUAAAUAACACUUAUUCUAGGUUUAUAUGGUUAACUUGGUAAUAAAGCAUUUUUUUCAAAAUUCAAAAUCAAU